AUUGAACGCUGGCGGCAGGCCUAACACAUGCAAGUCGAACGGUAACAGGAAACAGCUUGCUGUUUCGCUGACGAGUGGCGGACGGGUGAGUAAUGUCUGGGAAACUGCCUGAUGGAGGGGGAUAACUACUGGAAACGGUAGCUAAUACCGCAUAACGUCGCAAGACCAAAGAGGGGGACCUUCGGGCCUCUUGCCAUCAGAUGUGCCCAGAUGGGAUUAGCUAGUAGGUGGGGUAACGGCUCACCUAGGCGACGAUCCCUAGCUGGUCUGAGAGGAUGACCAGCCACACUGGAACUGAGACACGGUCCAGACUCCUACGGGAGGCAGCAGUGGGGAAUAUUGCACAAUGGGCGCAAGCCUGAUGCAGCCAUGCCGCGUGUAUGAAGAAGGCCUUCGGGUUGUAAAGUACUUUCAGCGGGGAGGAAGGGAGUAAAGUUAAUACCCUUGCUCAUUGACGUUACCCGCAGAAGAAGCACCGGCUAACUCCGUG
RNAcentral lists this ribosomal RNA (490 nucleotides) under uncultured bacterium. RNAcentral's name for it is "partial 16S ribosomal RNA". It matches the Rfam family "Bacterial small subunit ribosomal RNA", at positions 30 to 507 of the family's 1533-position model. The record is from RNAcentral.